GAUGAACGCUGGCGGCGUGCUUAACACAUGCAAGUCGAACGAUGACCUGGUGCUUGCACUGGUGAUUAGUGGCGAACGGGUGAGUAACACGUGAGUAACCUGCCCUUGACUCUGGGAUAAGCCUGGGAAACUGGGUCUAAUACCGGAUAUGACUCCUCAUCGCAUGGUGGGGGGUGGAAAGCUUUAUUGUGGUUUUGGAUGGACUCGCGGCCUAUCAGCUUGUUGGUGAGGUAAUGGCUUACCAAGGCGACGACGGGUAGCCGGCCUGAGAGGGUGACCGGCCACACUGGGACUGAGACACGGCCCAGACUCCUACGGGAGGCAGCAGUGGGGAAUAUUGCACAACGGGCGGAAGCCUGAUGCAGCGACGCCGCGUGAGGGAUGACGGCCUUCGGGUUGUAAACCUCUUUCAGUAGGGAAGAAGCGAAAGUGACGGUACCUGCAGAAGAAGCGCCGGCUA
RNAcentral lists this ribosomal RNA (460 nucleotides) under uncultured bacterium. RNAcentral's name for it is "bacterial SSU rRNA". It matches the Rfam family "Bacterial small subunit ribosomal RNA", at positions 28 to 499 of the family's 1533-position model. The record is from RNAcentral.